This 519-nucleotide ribosomal RNA is filed under the name Salmonella enterica subsp. enterica serovar Kentucky. RNAcentral describes it as "partial 23S ribosomal RNA". It matches the Rfam family "Bacterial large subunit ribosomal RNA", at positions 690 to 1207 of the family's 2925-position model. The record is from RNAcentral. Lineage: Bacteria; Pseudomonadati; Pseudomonadota; Gammaproteobacteria; Enterobacterales; Enterobacteriaceae.
GGGCGUUAAGUUGCAGGGUAUAGACCCGAAACCCGGUGAUCUAGCCAUGGGCAGGUUGAAGGUUGGGUAACACUAACUGGAGGACCGAACCGACUAAUGUUGAAAAAUUAGCGGAUGACCUGUGGCUGGGGGUGAAAGGCCAAUCAAACCGGGAGAUAGCUGGUUCUCCCCGAAAGCUAUUUAGGUAGCGCCUCGUGAAUUCAUCUCCGGGGGUAGAGCACUGUUUCGGCUAGGGGGCCAUCCCGGCUUACCAACCCGAUGCAAACUGCGAAUACCGGAGAAUGUUAUCACGGGAGACACACGGCGGGUGCUAACGUCCGUCGUGAAGAGGGAAACAACCCAGACCGCCAGCUAAGGUCCCAAAGUCAUGGUUAAGUGGGAAACGAUGUGGGAAGGCCCAGACAGCCAGGAUGUUGGCUUAGAAGCAGCCAUCAUUUAAAGAAAGCGUAAUAGCUCACUGGUCGAGUCGGCCUGCGCGGAAGAUGUAACGGGGCUAAACCAUGCACCGAAGCUGCGGCA